GUAGGGAAUCUUGCGCAAUGGACGAAAGUCUGACGCAGCGACGCCGCGUGAGCGAUGAAGGCCUUCGGGUCGUAAAGCUCUGUGGGGAGAGACGAAUAAGGUACGGCUAAUACCCGUAUCGAUGACGGUAUCUCCUUAGCAAGCACCGGCUAACUCUGUGCCAGCAGCCGCGGUAAGACAGAGGGUGCAAACGUUGUUCGGAAUUACUGGGCGUAAAGCGCGCGUAGGCGGCAGCGUGUGUCGGGCGUGAAAUCCCACGGCUCAACCGUGGAAGUGCACUCGAAACUGCGCAGCUAGAGUCUCGGAGAGGAAGGCGGAAUGCUUGGUGUAGAGGUGAAAUUCGUAGAUAUCAAGCGGAACACCGGUGGCGAAGGCGGCCUUCUGGACGAUGACUGACGCUGAAGUGCGAAAGCGUGGGGAGCAAACAGGAUUAGAUACCCGUGUAGUCC
This 449-nucleotide ribosomal RNA is filed under the name uncultured bacterium. RNAcentral's name for it is "bacterial SSU rRNA". It matches the Rfam family "Bacterial small subunit ribosomal RNA", at positions 354 to 796 of the family's 1533-position model. The record is from RNAcentral.